This 374-nucleotide unclassified non-coding RNA is filed under the name Leishmania donovani. RNAcentral describes it as "gene:unknown". The record is from RNAcentral. Lineage: Eukaryota; Euglenozoa; Kinetoplastea; Trypanosomatida; Trypanosomatidae.
GACCCACAUUGGCGUGCAUCCGCACGCGCACACAAGCGUACUUACUGAAUUCGAGCUACCAUGGUGAUCCUCUCAAGAAAGUGCACAUGGGAGGUGCCACUUGUAAAGGCAAUGCCCGCCACUGGCUCCCUUUCUCUCUCUGAGGACAUCUGUACUUGAGACAUAUCUGUAUGCGUCUAUGGCAGUUCUUUAUAGUGCCCUCCGUGCCGGCCGUGCUCAGCUAAAUACACAGAUGCAUGCCGACUUUGUUGAUUGCCACGAAGAGGAGAAGCUCCUCGCCACGCGUCGCCACAAAAUACAACAGCAGCAAAAAAAAAAAAUGAGAAUAAGCGGCGGCAGCGGUCGCAUUUUUGAGGCGUUUGGUGGUGAAGAAG